Tachyglossus aculeatus (Australian echidna) is the source of this 138-nucleotide small nucleolar RNA. Lineage: Eukaryota; Metazoa; Chordata; Mammalia; Monotremata; Tachyglossidae. The record is from RefSeq and is a predicted model, not a curated record.
CACCUCUCAGGGUCACACCUGGAGAGUUUCCAGUACUCUACCAGUCUCGGCUACGGGAGGGAGAGUCAAGCAGAGGCCUAUCCAUUCCAUGCCUACCUUGGGCAGUGGCUAGCGAGUGGAAGAGAAUCUGCCUCAAGU